UCAGAUGCGAAAGCGUGGGGAGCAAACAGGAUUAGAUACCCUGGUAGUCCACGCCCUAAACGAUGUACACUAGUUGUUGCUAUACUAGAUAUGGCAGUAAUGCAGUUAACACUUUAAGUGUACCGCCUGGGGAGUACGGUCGCAAGAUUAAAACUCAAAGGAAUAGACGGGGACCCGCACAAGCGGUGGAGCAUGUGGUUUAAUUCGACGAUACGCGAAAAACCUUACCUGGCCUUGACAUAGUAGGAAUCUUUAAGAGAUUAGAGAGUGCUAGCUUGCUAGAACCUACAUACAGGUGCUGCACGGCUGUCGUCAGCUCGUGUCGUGAGAUGUUGGGUUAAGUCCCGCAACGAGCGCAACCCACGUGAUUAGUUGCUAACGGUUCGGCCGAGAACUCUAAUCAGACUGCCUUCGUAAGGAGGAGGAAGGUGUGGACGACGUCAAGUCAUCAUGGCCCUUACGGCCAGGGCUACACACGUGCUACAAUGGGAUAUACAAAGAGUCGCAAUACCGCGAGGUGGAGCAAAUCUAGAAAAUAUCUCCCAGUUCGGAUUGCUCUCUGCAACUCGAGAGCAUGAAGUUGGAAUCGCUAGUAAUCGUGGAUCAGCAUUGCCACGGUGAAUACGUUCCCGGGUCUUGUACUCACCGCCCGUCACACCAUGGGAGUUGAUUUCAUUCGAAGCGGGGAUGCUAAAGUAGCUACCUUCCACAAUGGGAUUAGCGACUGGGGUGAAGUCGUAACAAGGUAACC
RNAcentral lists this ribosomal RNA (751 nucleotides) under uncultured bacterium. RNAcentral's name for it is "bacterial SSU rRNA". It matches the Rfam family "Bacterial small subunit ribosomal RNA", at positions 747 to 1501 of the family's 1533-position model. The record is from RNAcentral.